Molecule: ribosomal RNA, 253 nt
Filed under: uncultured bacterium
Lineage: Bacteria
Description: partial 16S ribosomal RNA
Rfam family: Bacterial small subunit ribosomal RNA
Source: RNAcentral
UACGGUGGGUGCGAGCGUUAAUCGGAAUAACUGGGCGUAAAGGGCACGCAGGCGGACUUUUAAGUGAGGUGUGAAAUCCCCGGGCUUAACCUGGGAAUUGCAUUUCAUACUGGUAGGCUAGAGUAUUGUAGGGGGGGGUAGAAUUCCACGUGUAGCGGUGAAAUGCGUAGAGAUGUGGAGGAAUACCGAAGGCGAAGGCAGCCCCUUGGGAAUGUACUGACGCUCAUGUGCGAAAGCGUGGGGAGCAAACAGG